RNAcentral lists this ribosomal RNA (175 nucleotides) under Corydalis schanginii. Lineage: Eukaryota; Viridiplantae; Streptophyta; Magnoliopsida; Ranunculales; Papaveraceae. RNAcentral also lists the same sequence under 1 other name. The record is from RNAcentral.
CGAAACCUGCCCAGCAGAACGACCUGCGAACACGUGAUGCCCCCGGUUGCGCUGGAAGGGGAGCCGUCUACCGACCGCUCCCUGCCCGGAAAAACGAACCCCCGGCGCGAUCCGCGCCAAGGAAAACGAACAAUGGAUCGGGCGCCCCGCAAGGAUGCGCCCCCCGAAAUCUUAA